AAUUAACCCUCUAGGUAGUAUGCUAAACCAAUAUGCGCUGGCGGUCUUUAUAUAUUAGAGAAACUCGCUUUAUAAUCGUAAAUACCCGUUAAUUUUAACUUAAUUCAACAAGCCUAUAUACCGCCGUUACUUAGAACUUAUUUAAAAUUACCCAAAUCUCAACAUAAAUUAUACUAUAAAAAAUCAGGUCAAGGUGUAGCUCAUAAUUAAGAAAAAGUAAGUUACAAUAAAAAUAAUUUAAGGACCAUAGAUAAAAAUCUCAACGAAAGAGAAUUUAUAAGUACACAUUAAUUAAAAUUUAAUAUAGAACCAUAUAAUAAAGAUGC
This 326-nucleotide ribosomal RNA is filed under the name Pholcus sp. 'Sihala' SL63. RNAcentral's name for it is "Sihala sp. SL63 partial 12S ribosomal RNA". Lineage: Eukaryota; Metazoa; Arthropoda; Arachnida; Araneae; Pholcidae. The record is from RNAcentral.